Molecule: long non-coding RNA, 989 nt
Organism: Homo sapiens (human)
Lineage: Eukaryota; Metazoa; Chordata; Mammalia; Primates; Hominidae
Exons: 4
Source: RefSeq, a predicted model, not a curated record
CUCUUGUCUCACACUGCCACGAGUUAGCUGUGUGGCCUGAACACCCAGCUGUCCCUUUGGGCCUUAGUUCCUUCCUCAGUAAAAUAAGAGGCAACUGAGACACAAAGAAGUUAAGUAAUCUGUCCCCAUUCAAGAGAGAGAACAUGGGCUCCACCUCUUGAUGAGGGAGUGGCAAACUUUAGGAGAGCAUGUGGGACCAGAAACAUUGUCGCAACCAUUUGUAGAAAAUACAGUCUAACACAUCAUACUCUCCUUCAGCUGUGGCUCCCUGGGGGUCUUUGGGCAAUGCCAAGAAGAUAGAAGCUGACCUGGCUCUGGGAAUCCUAGAAAACAACCUCCUCCUCCCUCCUGGUGUCCACCAGUGCUAACGGAAUAUGUCUCAAGCUCAGCUCAAAGAAGAAAAUUGUCACAAAGAUUCACACAAGAGAAUUGGAUGAACCAGAAGCAGAGACGCACUGUAUAGAAGAGUCCACAGAAUAUUUAGAACCUUAUGUAAAAAUCAGAAACUCCAAGAAUGCCAGCCAAGAAUUUUCUGAGGUAAGAAUUUUCUCAUUCCAAGCAAUGACCCAUCAGAGAAUCAAGAAGCUAAGGGAUUUGUGUCUAGAAUAGAUUUAUUCAAGUUCUGCUUGGGAUGACCUAACUUUAGUUGAGUUAGAAAAUAAAAAGUGGUUGUCAACCUAUACAUGGGUGUUUUCCUAGACAAGUAUUGUUCCAUGUUUAUCUUCAUGAAAAAGGGAAACAAAAGUCACACUAGCCAUACUUAGGAUUCGGAUCACAAAUUUUUUUUUCAUUUUAACAUGCACAGUAGAUCAGACAUAGCUUUGUUGUGGUCAGCACAACCUGGAUAGAAACAUAUUUUGAGUUUUUCUCUUAUUAAAUCUGUCUCUUUAAGUGUGAUAAAGCAGUUGAGAUAGAAAUCAGAUAUUUACUCCUCAGACUGGAGUAAAAUUUUCAUAGAGAAAUUUAGCUGACAAAUAUUAAGCAUUAUG